UCCAGUUCUUGAUGGGGAAAGCCAGGAAGCCAUGACUCAAAGAGUCAAACCUUUGACUGGAAGCCGAUAUUAGCUCUUUUUCCUUAAGGAGUAAUUUCGGUCAAUGUAUCACCCCAAAUGGACGGGGUCGGACGGAGUUAUGGUGCAAUGAAAAUCAUUCCUGCCAAGCCAGCAACUGCAGAUGAAAGGCAGGGUGAGUCACACCAGCUCUCCAGUCCCUGGCAGAAGCAACAUCUCCCUCUGCAGCCCGAACAGCCCGUGAAUCAGGUGCCAGCCACAGGCAGCUCCAGACGCCAGCGUGUUCUCCUGAGACGAUGCAACAUCCAAUUCCUUGAAGCCUCACCUGCUAGGACCUGCUUUCCAAUGUCUGGACUCCUCUUGCUCUCUUCUUGUUUGCUUCCAAGCUCCGGACAGUCCACCCUUGGCCUAGCAUCCCUCGGCCAGACAUUGCACCAUUUCCAUUUUAGGACGAGAUUUGAAAAGCUGCUCGGUUUAGCUUUCAAUGUUGUUGGAGCUCCCAUGGGUGGUGUCUGGGAUGAUGCGACAGCAGGGGAACAGAUUCUGGCAUCUCCUCUUACUUACAGGAACAUAUGGACACUAUUUUCUUGCUGCUCAAAAUAGUCAAGGCCUGGCACCACCGACCACAAGAUGCUGACCAGGACACGUCACUUGCUUAACCGCGAAGCCUCGUUUUCUUCAUUCCAUGAGACAAGCAUGGCUUGAUGAGCUGUGUAUAGGUCCACACCUGGGAUUCGAACCCACGAACCCUGCGCUGCCGGAGUGGAGCAUGCAAACUCAGCCACCAUGCCACCGGGCUGGCCUCUCGUAAGUGAUUUUGACUAAGGAAUUUUUGUUUUUUAAUGAUUGUAGAAACAGGAGAUGAAUCUUUGAGAUCUAAGAGGCUGGAGGUUAGAAGUGAGCUUCCUACACAAGAGUCCUCCCGCUCCUUUGGAGAGCUACCCUUUCAGUGAAGAGCUGGACCAGAAAAGCAUCCAGCCAUUGGCACAGCGAGAUGACAGAAAGCCUGUCAACGCUGGCCUGAUUCUGAAGAGAAAAAAGUGGUUGCCUUUGGGAUUUGUAUCUGGGGGCUGUCCUCAGGAGCGUUUGGGGUUUGAAUUUACACUAUCUGAGUGGCACGGAGCCUCAGUCUGCCGGGUUAGGAUAGGAUCGACAGUGGGCUGGUCAUACCUCUGGAGCACCUGGCAGGGGAAAACACAAAAUCUCUGCGGAUGGACACAAAGAAUUCUCACAGAUAAACCUCAACCAAGAUGAGAUCAAUGUCCAAAGGUGCCAAUCGAGGGAAAAAUAAACUCUGAGUAAGUUCGUAGAUAUAACAAACGGUAGGAAUAGAUCCCUGAGAGCUUCAGGAACAAUAUUAGCAAAUAGAGAUUAUAGAAUAGUUAAGAUUAAAGAUACAAUGGAAAAAUUAAAGAAGGCAAAGAGAACAAGCCACCAACAAAGGAAAACAAAAGACAAGGAAGAUUUAAGAAGAACAAAAGAGAACUGGUAGGAAUAAAAAAUACAGAGAUUGAAACUUAACAAAACCCUCAACGGUUACGUUAAAAAUAGAUUAGAUACAACAAAAUAGAGAAUUAGUGAAGUGGGAGGUCACUCUGAGCCCAAAGAAAUAAAGAGAAGGAAAAUUUAGAAGCAAGGUUAAUAGCAAUGGGCGACGGGCUAAGAAGGUCCGGUUAGGGCGCAAUAAGGGCUCCAGACGGGCUGAACAGCGAGAAGAGGACGGAGAGCGAAGGGAAGAUGGCUGAUAAUUUUCCAAAACUGAGGACAGGCCUGAAUUCUCUGACUCAGAGAAAAAGUAGUUUUAAGAAGGCUAGACAAAAGGAGAUUUACACCAACACACAUAAUAGCAAGCUAAGGUAGAAAACCAAAAACAAAAAGAAUACCUUAAAAGUGCCAGAAAUAAAAGAUUACCUAAAAAAGGAAUGCCAAUUAGUUUGGCCGCCACUUCUCAACAGUAGCCAGAGGACCGUGAAAUUACAGCUUCAGAGUUGAGUGAAAAUAGAAAUCUCUACCUAACUCAACUGUCACCCAAGAAUUAAGAAGAAAUGAUGGAAAACAAAACCUUAGAGAAUUGAUCACUAACAGACUCUCACUAAAAGAAUGUCUAAGGAUGUACUUUAGCCAGAAGAAAAUUGAACUCAGACAGAAGGAGUGAACUUCAAGCAGAAGGGGGAGGAAAUAAGUUGGUAAACAUGUGGAUAAAUCUAAACAAGAAUUGACAAUGCAAACAAUGAUAAUACUCAUGACAUUUUAAAUGUUUAAAAACAUGGAGGAUCUGAAAUACUGGAUUAGGUAACAUGUAAGGCUGGAGAAAAAUAAUUCAAGGCUUCUAAAAUCCUUGAAUGGUUAUAUGAAUUAACUUCAGACUUUGUCAUGCCCAGCACACAUGUUAAAAUUUUAAUCAUGACACUAAGAGAAUAGAAAUAGGAUUUGUAACUUUCUAAAACAGUAGAGGAAAAAUGAGAAAAAGAUACUCUCUAGUCCUAUAGGAGAAGGGUCAGCAAACUUCUUCUGUAAAUGGCCAGAUAGUAAAUAUUUUGACUUUGGUGCCGUGUGGUUUUUGUCACACCUGUGCGACUCUGUCACUGCAGUGUGAAAGCAGCCACUGAGAAGAUUUAAAGAAAUGGGCAUGACUGUGUCCCAAUACAGUUUGAUUUACAGAAAAAGGCACUGGACUGCGUUUGGCCUGUACGCUGAGUUUGCCAUUCCCUGCUCUAAAGGUAGGAAAGGAGGUAAAAUUAGGAAGAUAGAAAGCACAAAGACAGCCAAAAUAUCCCAAAUAGGUUAGUGACCACAAGAUGUAUAAAUGAAUUAAAUUUGCUGGAUAAAGACACAGACUGAUAGAUAAGUUAAAAAUAUGUGGGACUCUAUGCUUUUAGUAAGACAAAUACUUAAACCAUAAGGAAAACAGAAAGGUGGAAAGUAAAAGUGGGAAGAUAGAUAUCCCAGGCAAAUAUGGUGAAGAGAACGGUUAUUAAUGACAUUAGCACACAAAAUAGACUGUAGGGAAAAAAGCAUUAAUAAUGGUAAAGAAGGUCAUUAUAAAAUGGUAAAAGGCACAUUUCACCAGGAGAAACUUAUAAACUUAUGUACCCCAAUAACACAGCCUCAAAAUAUAUAAAGCAAGGUUUGAUAGAAUUACAGGGAGAGGUUUGUAAGUCCACCCUUGCAGUGUGACAAAGAAAGGAUAUAGACUUUUAAAAGACAAAUUAAGAGCUUUGAUCUAAUGAUAUAUGGCAUGUUGCACCUAAAAAUUAAGAAUGCAUAUUCUUGGGGGCUGGCCCCAUGGCCUAGUGGUUAAGUUUGGCACGCUCUGCUUUGGCGGCCUGGGUUGGGUUCCCUGGCAUGGACCUAUACCACUUGUUGGUGGCCAUGCUGUGGCAGCAACCCACCUACGAAAUAGAGGAAGAUUGGCACAGAUGUUAGCUCAGGGCAAACAUUCCUCAAACAAACAAAAGAAAAAGAAAAAAGAAUGCAUAUUCUUUUCAAACACAUAUGGAACUGCUAUAACGUUCAUAUAUUAGGUCAUAAAAUAAGAUUCAACAAAUAUUAAAAAGCUGGGAUUAUGCAGGCCAUAUUUUCUCUGCUCAAUGCAUUUGUUAGAAGUCAAUAAAUUUAAUAAAGUCAUACAUUUGGAUAUUUUAAAGCGCAUUUAUAAAUAAGUCAUGAUUCAAAGAAGACGUUAAAAUAUAAAUAAGAAUAUAUUAAGAAUUGAGUGAUAGUGAAAAGACCACAUAUCCCCGAACUUGCGGAGUGUUGUUAAAGUGGUACUUAGAGCAAAAUUAAUAGCUUACAUACAAUGCAGAGGACCCAUACAACCCAAAGAAGGUUCUCGAAAGGACCAGUACUUUAGAAAGUUUUCUGGCUAUGUUUCUCAAGGAUGAGAGGAGGGGGUGAGGAGAAUGAGAGACAGAGAGAGCCAAGUAAACAACUACAAUGGCAGGAAUAAAAAAGGGCGCAGGUAUACAGAUAAGGAUGAGUUUUUAAAAAAUAAUAAGAGGCUUCUGUGGAUAACCAUGAAAAUUGAUAAUAAAAUUGUCAAUCCCCUAGGAAAAUAUAACUUACCAAAACUGACUGAAGAAGGAGUAGAAAAACUGCACACACUCGUUAAUAAAACUGAAUCAAUUGUUAAAAAAUCUGCCCGCAAAAUUCUUGCCAGACACAGACGCUUCAGUGAUAGGUUCUACGAAAUAUUCCAGAAACAGUGCCCUCAAUUAAUACAAACUGUCCCAGAGAACAAAGAUAGAAAAAUCGGCGCUUCAUUUUGUAUAUGUGUAUAACCUUGAUGUCCAAACUAGACUGAGGGCAAUAAGAAAAAAAUCCAAUUAUCGGCCAAAGGCACUCAUGAUGAUAAAUGUGAAAAAUUUAAACAAAAUAGCAACUGACUGAGUCCUGCAAUCUAUCUACAGAAAAUAAAUCAUGACAAAGUUGGAUUGGUCACUUAUCAAACCCAAGUCUGUAGCCUUUCUUAAAAGAGCCUGAUUUCGGUGGCACAAUUCACCAUGAAGUCAUGCUUUGUCACUGCCAGAAAAAUGGUGUCUCGGUCCAGGUCAGCCUCAAGCUAGAUGACCAAUGGAGAAAAAUGCCCAGCAAUUGGCCCAAGAAAGUGCUUACCAGGGUGACCGAGCCAAGGAUCCAUUAGCAUCGUGGAAGAGGAAGUUUGUGCUUCAAAGCCUGCUGGGUUCUUAGACACACAUUCCCCACAGCCUUUUGGUCUGUCCUUAGUUCCAGCUCCCCCUGAGCUUACCUGCGCGUUUAAAGGUACCACCUGAACACACCUGAGCUCGCCAACUCCAACUCGACAGAGACUUCAGAUCAUGUCAGGUUCUCGGUUCCCUGCUUCCACCUUCAUUAAAAAAAUAAGCAAAAUAAUUAUUCUGUUUUAUCUGUUACAGAAUUCAUGUUCAUUAUGUUCAUUGCAGAAAUGUUGGGAAAUAAAGAACAAAAUAAAAACUUCCUUUAAUCCAGUCACAGAGAGGAUUGGAUCCACACCACAAGUAACAUUUUGUUAUACCUCCCCUCACUAGACACACACACACACUCACAACAUAUAUUAUAAAAUAUAUUCUGUUUAUUCUUUAUAUAUUAUAAUACAUAUAUAUUUUGCUUGUUCUAUUAAUAUAUAAAUAUUUGUGCAUAUCUGUAACAAGAUAUGGACAUUUAUUAAAAUUAGGAUUUUGGGCCGGCCCCGUGGCCGAGUGGUUAAGUUCGCGCGCUCCGCUUUGGCGACCCAGGGUUUUGCUGGUUUGGAUCCUGGGUGCGGACAUGGCACCGCUCAUCAGGCCACGGUGAGGCAGCAUCCCACAUGCCACAACCAGAGGGACCCACAACUAAAAUAUGCAACUAUGUACUAGGGGCAUUUGGGGAGAAAAAGCAGAAAAACAAGCAAACAAAAAGACUGGCAACAGCUGUUAGCUCAGGUGCCAAUCCUAAAAAAAAAAUUAGACUUUUAUGAACACACUUUUCCAUUUUUUCUCACUAAAUAAUAUAACGUGAACAUUUCUUCGAGGAACCCUGCCCGCCAGCAGCCACGAGCCGUGCUGGGGCCAAGGUUCUGUUACAUCAUAUUGCUGUUGCAUCCUGGCCCCUGUUCCCACCAGGCUGGAGCUGGCGCUUUUUAAUCAGGUAGCUUCAAAUCUUUGCAGCCCAAGUGUCGGGCUCCGUCUCCCCGAGCCUCACGUCCAGCACUUCCAGAUCCCUUCGGUCAACGGAUUCCCGGGCGGGGCUCCACCCACCUGCACCUUAUCCUGUCUCUGGAGUCUCCCCAGUGAGUGGCGCUCCGGCAGGACUGUUUGUCCACGACACUAGGUAGAUCUGUACAGCUCAUGCCCUCCCUUCCUUAUGAUCCCUGCUCAAAUGUCACUUUACCCCAGUGGUCCUACCUGACCUCCUCAUGUAAAACACCUGAUGGAAAAUGAUGAAAAACAACUUUCUCCAGUCUGUGCACUGGCAAUCCUUAUCAGCCUCAUUCUACUCAAAUAUUUACAUAUGCUUAUCAAAUCCUAACAUAGAAUUUAUAUAUGUAUCUAAGUUUCUAUAUAUUUAACUGUAUCUAUGUAUCUAACUAUGUAUCUAUAUAUCUUAGUGCUUAUCUAUCUAUCAUAUGCACUAAUCUAUGUAUGUAUGUAUGUACUUAUCUCUCUAUCUAUCCAUCCAUCGACCUAAUGUAAUUAUGUAGGUAUGUAUGUAUCCAUCCAUCCACCUAAUGAAUGUAUGUCAGUAUGUAUCUAUCCAUCCAUCGACCUAAUAUACGUAUGUAUGUAUCUAUCUAUAUAUCCACCUAAUCUAUGUGUGUAUGUGUGUGUAUAUGUAUGCAUCCACCUAAUGUAUAUAUGUGUGUGUAUCUAUCCAUCCAUCCCCCUGCCUCACUAUUGUUGAUCCCAAGCACUUAGUACCCUGCCUUGGAUAUGUUUGACAAAUAUCUGUUGAAUGAACAAAUGUAUAGGAAUUAAUUUCUCUCUCCUAUUUUCUCUGUUAUCUAAAACAAUUAAAGUAAACCUGAAACUACUAUAAUGUUCUAUGUCAAUUAUACCUCAAUCAAUGUAAAAAAACAAGUUCUUCGUGUCAAUGUGGUUUUGACACCCAAACAAAUGUAGGCACUGAGGUCACAUGGCAUCACUUGGUCCAAAUGUAGCUAUUCAUGUGACUCAGGAUACAAUUACAUUAAAAUUUUUCUGGAAUAUUAGCCAAAUGAACAACACACAAAACAUUAUUGUGAGUAGGGUUGCAAAUUUACUCAUAUGAUACAGUAAUGUGCAAACAAAAUGUUUAUUUCUUCUAUAACCACUCACUCACCGCUGCACUGGGUUGUAAGGAAAAGCGAUCCAGCACGCUGCAAUACUUUCAACAAUCUCUCAGCUUCUCCUCUGCAUCUUUAGAACAUCAUCAUCCCUGCCCUGCUUGCCUCUGAGUUGGCACCAGGGACUGGAGGCAGGUGUACGGCGGGUUCUUGUGGGUUCAUGGAGCCUUGCUGGCCUCAGCUGCCAAGUGGCCCCUCUGCUCCCUGGACUGGUCCCCAUGAGGCAUUGCUGGUGUGUGUUUCUGAAUGCUGUGACAAGGGUCGGUGCUGGUCUGCUUCUUGUGCUGGGUUGUGUUCCUGGUGGUCGCUGCCAUCGCACUUUGCUCCUUGUGCCUUUGCCACCCCGACUGCUACACGUUAGAGACUCUCUCCCCCAACCCUCAUACAUCGGCCCUGGCCUCCUUUGUGCCCUUUGCUGCAGGGUAGUGCAGCCCCCAGCCCACCCCCAAUGGCAGCCCACUGGCUCUUCUGUUGGCCUCCACAAGGCAUGAGGGAUUCCGGGUGUCUUUGAAGACCCAGUCAAGCUGGAGGGCCUCCGUGUAGUCAUCCUAGAAUAAAUACUCACAGCUUACUCAUUCCUGACCCUUCAGCUGGGGUGACCAGAAUUUGACGUCUCUACAGUGUUUCACAAUAGCGUACCUUGAAAACUUUUUUCCAUUGUGACAGUGAUUAUGACCACACAAUGACAGCAUAGCCAGGCAAAAUGUGGAAAGGUUGGUAAAUUGCUAAAGUGAUUAAUUAAUGCUUGUAAAGUUACAAAAUAUAUCCAUUGAUACUAUAAUGAUUCAUUGAACAUUCCAUUAAAAUACGUUGGCAUCAUAUAUAACAGGGGUUGGAAAACUCUGGCCUGCAGGUCAAAUCUGGUCCUCUGCUUGUUUUUGUAAAUAAAGUUUUAUUAGCACAUAGCCACUCCCAUUUGCUUAUACAUCGUCUAUGGCUGCUUCAUGCUAGAAGGGCAGAGUUGAGUAAUUGCAACAGAGACCAUACUUUUGAAGCCCAAAUUAUUUACUAUCAGGCCCUUGACGGAAAAAUUUGUCAUCUCUGCUCUAUGUCUAGUAUGAAACGAUAGUUAUCUUUAGCUCUGAGACAUGCAGCUGGGGAUGAAGAGUUUGAAACAACACAGUGAACAAAGGUGACAAGAGUGAAAAUCCUCUGUCUGCAACCAAAGGAAACCAAAACAAAGAAAGCUGGUUUGCUCCAGAGUUUCUACUUUAUUGUUUAUCAUUGAGCUAUGUUUUUCCACAAACACAGGAUGAUGGUUAAAAACAUAAAGUUUUUGAGGAGAUGAUUUCCCAUAAACACUCUGCCUUCACAAAAAGGAGUCAUCUUGAGCCACAGAAGAAAUAUUGGAGACAUUUUUAAGCCUCUGUUUUGGGAUCUGAUUCCCACGUGGUUUGAAGACCCUGUUCAUAUCAUUUCUAGAGAUGGGAAGUAGAUUUGGAGUCUGACGACCUGGGUUCACAUCCUAGUAAUGGAACCAACCCCCAUGACCAUAGACAAGAUGAGUGUCCCACGUGGCCUCUGUUUUCCUAGCUGUGAAAUGGACCCAUCUGGGAAGAGGAGCUCUGAUGGCCCUUCCAGCUCGAAAAUCCUGACUCUGUGCUUCCAAUUUAAUGGAAAUGUUGGCCCCAUUCUGACUCUACCCCAUGAGAAUGUGAUGGUAUGACAUUAAAACGAUAAGGAUGCUCUAGAUAUGAAAUUCUACUGUUGAAUCCGUAUUGCACCCAAGGUCUAAAGAACCAGUUAUUCAAUUUAACCAGCUGAGGGAGUAGACAUGGCUAACAUUUGGGCUCAGCAGCUAAAGCUUUUCUGGAAACAGACCUCCUGGGGCCAUGAAGGAGGAAGGAAUUCCGAUCGUGGAGAUAUCAACUGAAAGGUCCACCUGGACGUCGUGAACAGCUCUACAUGUGGGCCGUGGCGCUCAGACCAGUGACACACAAUAUCCCAGAAUCUGUUUUGUAUUUAGGAAAAAAUUUACAGUGAAUACAUGACAUUUAGAGCACACUCAUGGCAGAUGAUUUCAAUUGUGUAGUUCUUAAAUGUUUGCACGUCCUAACAUCUUUCCGGCCUCCAGCACAGCUCUGCUCUGAGUGGCACGUCCAUUAUUAUCCCUCCGUGAGUGUGUGAGCCUGUGCUAAAUUUCACAGUCCCUGGACUCCCAGCAUCUGGGAUACGGAGGGUGGGGGUGUGGGUGAGGUGACUCAGCCUGGGGUGCACCCAACACAACACUGCAACACUGUAAUUCAGUUCCUUACGAGAAAGCAGAAUGCAAUUCACACAACGCUUUGCUGGUAUCAGCCUGCACUGAGAUAAAACAGCUCAGAGGCCGUAUUGGCCUGCCUGGGAUAGUCGUUGUGAGGGUUCAGUAAGAUAAAGAUUCCAGUGUUUAGCCCAGCGUCUGGAUCUCAGGAACAGCUCUGUAAAUGAUGCAUAUUCUUACGGCAGUGGAAAAGCUGUUAGAAAGAAUCGAGAGCUAUCCAACUGUACCUGGGUAUUUCUGUGUGUUUUAAUUAUGAUCUAUCCUGUGUGCUCAAAGAGUUCUGAAAGCGUGGGCUGUGACAGCUAGAAGGGAUCCUAGAAAUCAAUGUUUGGACCAGGAUACCAGGAGCCAGAGGAUUCAAGUGGCUCAUGAAUGGCCACACAAGGUAUUCAUGGCAGGAUGGUCUUUAAUUUUUACAUUAUUUUUAAUUGAAGAUUCACAGAAAGAACAAAGUUUUCCAGUCUAUAUUCCUUAGGACACAGCGAUAUUAAUUCCUGCCUCACUGGGCUGCUGGGCAAAGGAAGCGACAACCCUGAGCAGAUGGGGCAUGGGCUGAGCACUGCAUAUUGGCAUCUAUUAACAUCGCCACCCUCGAGGAGGUGUGUCCUCAGGACACCCGCACCCCACUCCUGCCAGGCCCCCUCCUGUGACGGGCAC
Molecule: long non-coding RNA, 9734 nt
Organism: Equus caballus (horse)
Lineage: Eukaryota; Metazoa; Chordata; Mammalia; Perissodactyla; Equidae
Source: Ensembl